RNAcentral lists this ribosomal RNA (499 nucleotides) under uncultured archaeon. RNAcentral's name for it is "bacterial SSU rRNA". It matches the Rfam family "Archaeal small subunit ribosomal RNA", at positions 333 to 831 of the family's 1478-position model. The record is from RNAcentral.
CAGCAGGCGCGAAACCUUUACACUGCACGCACGUGCGAUAAGGGGACUCCGAGUGCGAGGGCAUAUUGUCCUCGCUUUCGUGUACCGUAGGGUGGUACACCAACAAGGGCUGGGCAAGACCGGUGCCAGCCGCCGCGGUAAUACCGGCAGCCCGAGUGAUGGCCGAUCUUAUUGGGCCUAAAGCGUCCGUAGCUGGCUACGCAAGUCCGUCGGGAAAUCCACUCGCCCAACGAGUGGGCGUCCGACGGAAACUGCAUAGCUUGGGACCGGAAGGCUCGAAGGGUACGUUCGGGGUAGGAGUGAAAUCCUAUAAUCCCGCACGGACCACCGAUGGCGAAAGCACUUCGAGAAAACGGAUCCGACAGUGAGGGACGAAAGCCAGGGUCUCCAACCGGAUUAGAUACCCGGGUAGUCCUGGCCGUAAACAAUGUUCGCUAGGUAUGACACAGACUACGUGUCUCUGUUGUGCCGUAGGGAAGCCGAGAAGCGAACCGCCUGG